This 2908-nucleotide ribosomal RNA is filed under the name Enterobacter cloacae. RNAcentral's name for it is "bacterial LSU rRNA". It matches the Rfam family "Bacterial large subunit ribosomal RNA". Lineage: Bacteria; Pseudomonadati; Pseudomonadota; Gammaproteobacteria; Enterobacterales; Enterobacteriaceae. The record is from RNAcentral. RNAcentral also lists the same sequence under 1 other name.
UGAGGUUAAGCGACUAAGCGUACACGGUGGAUGCCCUGGCAGUCAGAGGCGAUGAAGGACGUGCUAAUCUGCGAAAAGCGCCGGCGAGGUGAUAUGAACCCUUGACCCGGCGAUGUCCGAAUGGGGAAACCCAGUGCAAUUCGUUGCACUAUCGUUAACUGAAUACAUAGGUUAACGAGGCGAACCGGGGGAACUGAAACAUCUAAGUACCCCGAGGAAAAGAAAUCAACCGAGAUUCCCCCAGUAGCGGCGAGCGAACGGGGAGCAGCCCGGAGUCUGAAUCAGCUUGUGUGUUAGUGGAACGGUCUGGAAAGUCCGACGGUACAGGGUGAUAGUCCCGUACACGAAAGCACACAUGCUGUGAACUCGAAGAGUAGGGCGGGACACGUGGUAUCCUGUCUGAAUAUGGGGGGACCAUCCUCCAAGGCUAAAUACUCCUGACUGACCGAUAGUGAACCAGUACCGUGAGGGAAAGGCGAAAAGAACCCCGGCGAGGGGAGUGAAAAAGAACCUGAAACCGUGUACGUACAAGCAGUGGGAGCCUCUUUAUGGGGUGACUGCGUACCUUUUGUAUAAUGGGUCAGCGACUUAUAUUCUGUAGCAAGGUUAACCGUAUAGGGGAGCCGAAGGGAAACCGAGUCUUAACUGGGCGUUAAGUUGCAGGGUAUAGACCCGAAACCCGGUGAUCUAGCCAUGGGCAGGUUGAAGGUUGGGUAACACUAACUGGAGGACCGAACCGACUAAUGUUGAAAAAUUAGCGGAUGACCUGUGGCUGGGGGUGAAAGGCCAAUCAAACCGGGAGAUAGCUGGUUCUCCCCGAAAGCUAUUUAGGUAGCGCCUCGUGAACUCAUCUUCGGGGGUAGAGCACUGUUUCGGCUAGGGGGCCAUCCCGGCUUACCAACCCGAUGCAAACUACGAAUACCGAAGAAUGUUAUCACGGGAGACACACGGCGGGUGCUAACGUCCGUCGUGAAGAGGGAAACAACCCAGACCGCCAGCUAAGGUCCCAAAGUCAUGGUUAAGUGGGAAACGAUGUGGGAAGGCACAGACAGCCAGGAUGUUGGCUUAGAAGCAGCCAUCAUUUAAAGAAAGCGUAAUAGCUCACUGGUCGAGUCGGCCUGCGCGGAAGAUGUAACGGGGCUAAACCAUGCACCGAAGCUGCGGCAGCGACACUAUGUGUUGUUGGGUAGGGGAGCGUUCUGUAAGCCGUUGAAGGUGUGCUGUGAGGCAUGCUGGAGGUAUCAGAAGUGCGAAUGCUGACAUAAGUAACGAUAAAGCGGGUGAAAAGCCCGCUCGCCGGAAGACCAAGGGUUCCUGUCCAACGUUAAUCGGGGCAGGGUGAGUCGACCCCUAAGGCGAGGCCGAAAGGCGUAGUCGAUGGGAAACAGGUUAAUAUUCCUGUACUUGGUGUUACUGCGAAGGGGGGACGGAGAAGGCUAUGUCAGCCGGGCGACGGUUGUCCCGGUUUAAGCAUGUAGGCGGAGGUUCCAGGUAAAUCCGGUACCUUAUUAACGCUGAGGUGUGAUGACGAGGCACUACGGUGCUGAAGUGAUAAAUGCCCUGCUUCCAGGAAAAGCCUCUAAGCAUCAGGUAACACGAAAUCGUACCCCAAACCGACACAGGUGGUCAGGUAGAGAAUACCAAGGCGCUUGAGAGAACUCGGGUGAAGGAACUAGGCAAAAUGGUGCCGUAACUUCGGGAGAAGGCACGCUGAUGUGUAGGUGAAGCCCCUGCGGGUGGAGCUGAAAUCAGUCGAAGAUACCAGCUGGCUGCAACUGUUUAUUAAAAACACAGCACUGUGCAAACACGAAAGUGGACGUAUACGGUGUGACGCCUGCCCGGUGCCGGAAGGUUAAUUGAUGGGGUUAGCGGCAACGCGAAGCUCUUGAUCGAAGCCCCGGUAAACGGCGGCCGUAACUAUAACGGUCCUAAGGUAGCGAAAUUCCUUGUCGGGUAAGUUCCGACCUGCACGAAUGGCGUAAUGAUGGCCAGGCUGUCUCCACCCGAGACUCAGUGAAAUUGAACUCGCUGUGAAGAUGCAGUGUACCCGCGGCAAGACGGAAAGACCCCGUGAACCUUUACUAUAGCUUGACACUGAACACUGGUCCUUGAUGUGUAGGAUAGGUGGGAGGCUUUGAAGCGUGGACGCCAGUCUGCGUGGAGCCAACCUUGAAAUACCACCCUUUAAUGGCUGGUGUUCUAACGUAGACCCGUAAUCCGGGUUGCGGACAGUGUCUGGUGGGUAGUUUGACUGGGGCGGUCUCCUCCCAAAGAGUAACGGAGGAGCACGAAGGUUGGCUAAUCCUGGUCGGACAUCAGGAGGUUAGUGCAAUGGCAUAAGCCAGCUUGACUGCGAGCGUGACGGCGCGAGCAGGUGCGAAAGCAGGUCAUAGUGAUCCGGUGGUUCUGAAUGGAAGGGCCAUCGCUCAACGGAUAAAAGGUACUCCGGGGAUAACAGGCUGAUACCGCCCAAGAGUUCAUAUCGACGGCGGUGUUUGGCACCUCGAUGUCGGCUCAUCACAUCCUGGGGCUGAAGUAGGUCCCAAGGGUAUGGCUGUUCGCCAUUUAAAGUGGUACGCGAGCUGGGUUUAGAACGUCGUGAGACAGUUCGGUCCCUAUCUGCCGUGGGCGCUGGAGAAUUGAGGGGGGCUGCUCCUAGUACGAGAGGACCGGAGUGGACGCAUCACUGGUGUUCGGGUUGUCAUGCCAAUGGCACUGCCCGGUAGCUAAAUGCGGAAGAGAUAAGUGCUGAAAGCAUCUAAGCACGAAACUUGCCCCGAGAUGAGUUCUCCCUGAGACUUUAAGUCUCCUGAAGGAACGUUGAAGACGACGACGUUGAUAGGUCGGGUGUGUAAGCGCAGCGAUGCGUUGAGCUAACCGAUACUAAUGAACCGUGAGGCUUAACCUU